RNAcentral lists this ribosomal RNA (433 nucleotides) under uncultured bacterium. RNAcentral's name for it is "partial 16S ribosomal RNA". It matches the Rfam family "Bacterial small subunit ribosomal RNA", at positions 29 to 507 of the family's 1533-position model. The record is from RNAcentral.
AACGAACGCUGGCGGCAUGCCUAACACAUGCAAGUCGAACGAGACCUUCGGGUCUAGUGGCGCACGGGUGCGUAACGCGUGGGAACCUGCCCUUAGGCUCGGAAUAACUCCCCGAAAGGGGUGCUAAUACCGGAUAAUUUCUUCGGACCAAAGAUUUAUCGCCUUUGGAUGGGCCCGCGUUGGAUUAGCUAGUUGGUAGGGUAAAAGCCUACCAAGGCGUCGAUCCAUAGCUGGUCUGAGAGGAUGAUCAGCCACACUGGGACUGAGACACGGCCCAGACUCCUACGGGAGGCAGCAGUGGGGAAUAUUGGACAAUGGGGGAAAGCCUGAUCCAGCAAUGCCGCGUGAGUGAUGAAGGCCUUAGGGUUGUAAAGCUCUUUUACCCGGGAUGAUAAUGACAGUACCGGGAGAAUAAGCUCCGGCUAACUCCGUG